This 165-nucleotide ribosomal RNA is filed under the name uncultured bacterium. RNAcentral describes it as "partial 16S ribosomal RNA". It matches the Rfam family "Bacterial small subunit ribosomal RNA", at positions 355 to 511 of the family's 1533-position model. The record is from RNAcentral.
UAGAGAAUCUUCCACAAUGGGCGAAAGACCUGAUGGAGCAACGCCGCGUGUGUGAUGAAGGGUUUCGGCUCGUAAAACACUGUUGUAAGAGAAGAAUGACAUUGAGAGUAACUGUUCAAUGUGUGACGGUAUCUUACCAGAAAGGAACGGCUAAAUACGUGCCAG